CACAGCUGUAGGCAACAGCCUAGGUUACAUUGUACCUAGGCAAGUGCUACACUGCUGGGAGAAAAGCAGCUAACAGCUGGAGGACAUU
Small nucleolar RNA from Ochotona princeps (American pika), 88 nucleotides. Its record names the gene SNORA74. It matches the Rfam family "Small nucleolar RNA SNORA74". From Rfam's summary of the family: U19 belongs to the H/ACA class of snoRNAs. snoRNAs bind a number of proteins (including dyskerin, Gar1p and Nop10p in the case of the H/ACA class) to form snoRNP complexes. This class are thought to guide the sites of modification of uridines to pseudouridines by forming direct base pairing interactions with substrate RNAs. Targets may include ribosomal and spliceosomal RNAs but the exact functions of many snoRNAs, including U19, are not confirmed. Lineage: Eukaryota; Metazoa; Chordata; Mammalia; Lagomorpha; Ochotonidae. The record is from Ensembl.